AUUGAACGCUGGCAGCAUGCUUUACACAUGCAAGUCGAACGGUAACAGGCCGCAAGGUGCUGACGAGUGGCGAACGGGUGAGUAAUGCAUCGGAACGUGCCCAGUCGUGGGGGAUAACUACUCGAAAGAGUAGCUAAUACCGCAUACGAUCUAUGGAUGGAAGCGGGGGACCGUAAGGCCUCGCGCGAUUGGAGCGGCCGAUGUCAGAUUAGGUAGUUGGUGGGGUAAAGGCUCACCAAGCCAACGAUCUGUAGCUGGUCUGAGAGGACGACCAGCCACACUGGGACUGAGACACGGCCCAGACUCCUACGGGAGGCAGCAGUGGGGAAUUUUGGACAAUGGGCGCAAGCCUGAUCCAGCAAUGCCGCGUGCAGGAAGAAGGCCUUCGGGUUGUAAACUGCUUUUGUACGGAACGAAACGGCUCUGGUUAAUACCCGGGGCUAAUGACGGUACCGUAAGAAUAAGCACCGGCUAACUAUGUG
This 482-nucleotide ribosomal RNA is filed under the name uncultured bacterium. RNAcentral's name for it is "partial 16S ribosomal RNA". It matches the Rfam family "Bacterial small subunit ribosomal RNA", at positions 30 to 507 of the family's 1533-position model. The record is from RNAcentral.